CAACUUUUAACAACGGAUCUCUUGGCUCUCGCAUCGAUGAAGAACGCAGCGAAAUGCGAUACGUAAUGUGAAUUGCAGAAUUCAGUGAAUCAUCGAAUCUUUGAACGCACCUUGCGCCCCUUGGUAUCCGAGGGGCACACCCGUUUGAGU
Molecule: ribosomal RNA, 150 nt
Filed under: uncultured fungus
Lineage: Eukaryota; Fungi
Description: 5.8S ribosomal RNA
Rfam family: 5.8S ribosomal RNA
About the family: 5.8S ribosomal RNA (5.8S rRNA) is a component of the large subunit of the eukaryotic ribosome. It is transcribed by RNA polymerase I as part of the 45S precursor that also contains 18S and 28S rRNA.
Source: RNAcentral